AGCCGUGAAGAAAGGCGUGUUAGGCUGUUGGAGUAAUAUCAUUGACAGUGAUCUAAAACAAAUGGAUACAUUAUUUUCUAGCUUCUCGGGUAGCUCUAGGAGUUCUAGUUCAAGGUUUGAGGAUAAAGAGAAGAAAAAAUCAAAAAAAUAAAGAAAUAUUAUUAGUAGCCGAUAUAGAUAAUAGUUCAAGUAAUUGGAAGUUAUCACCAAUCUCUGCAAAUCUUAUUUAUAAGUUUAAUACUAGUUUUCGUUUAAAGUCUAAUUAUGUGGUAAAAAAU
RNAcentral lists this unclassified non-coding RNA (278 nucleotides) under Hevea brasiliensis (rubber tree). The record is from RNAcentral. Lineage: Eukaryota; Viridiplantae; Streptophyta; Magnoliopsida; Malpighiales; Euphorbiaceae.